AUGCCAUUAAUUAAUAGAAGUUAUUUUUAGCGAUUCGGAGUGAUGCCCAAAUCCUCACUGCUAAUAUGAGAUGAAUUUUUGAGUGGGUAAAGGUUGCCCCUAAGGUGACCCACCUACUUUGCAGGAUGCCUGGGAGUUGUGAUCUGCCCA
Small nuclear RNA from Carlito syrichta (Philippine tarsier), 150 nucleotides. Its record names the gene U12. It matches the Rfam family "U12 minor spliceosomal RNA". Rfam says of the family: Although the U12 sequence is very divergent from that of U2, the two are functionally analogous. NCBI's taxonomy places the organism in Eukaryota, Metazoa, Chordata, Mammalia, Primates, Tarsiidae. The record is from Ensembl.